Molecule: long non-coding RNA, 1579 nt
Organism: Erigeron canadensis
Lineage: Eukaryota; Viridiplantae; Streptophyta; Magnoliopsida; Asterales; Asteraceae
Exons: 3
Source: RefSeq, a predicted model, not a curated record
UUUUUUUUUCCAUCUUUUUAGAUUUUACUCAAAACAAUCGGAUCCAAGGAUUUCUUCUCUUUUUAUCCCAAACCAUCUAUCCAUGGAGAUAGCUAUCGAAAUCUCUAUUGAGAUAAUUCUCUUUUAAUCAGGUUAUCAAAUACUAUAAGUUAUGAGAAUGGGCUGCCAAAAAAUCAUUAGAAAACCUCUGGAGAUAAUCGACACACCUACCUGCCUGGAUUACUAAGCUAUUUAAGAGGCCACAAAUUGUUGACUCGGACCUUAAGGUAAUGUACGUGGCAUUUUUAUUUAAUUUUAUCACUAAAGCAUCCAUGUUUGCAAGUUUUGUGUUUGGAUUAUGGUUCCCCCUAUGAACUAUUAUCCUGGAAAUACCACUAUGCACGAGCUUUCAAAACGGAAGCAUUCUAAAGACGGCAUAUAAUAGUGUUCAAAAGGCGAUGUAGCCAUUUACAGGUAUAUAAAAGGGACCUUUUCCAUAAGGCACUGCUAUUUUUAGCAUGUGUAGCCAAAACUUGAAAAUCUAAGUUUAUAACUUUAUAUGCCUUAUUGUGGAUUAUCUAUGACGUAGAGUAGUGUUUGUAUGAUUGACUAAUGUUUUCUGGGUGUUUGUUUCCAGCAUCAGUAUGGUAGCUAAAAAUGAGGCCGAGUACUAAAAGAACUAUUUCCAUGUUUAGAGUGUGAAAAAAAAAAGAUGACAUGACCCUUACGAACAACCACCUGAACGUCAUUUCGAGAAUCUUUAUGUUGAGCUGGCGUCAUAUCAUAGUUGCUGGCUGUCAAGUUAAGGUGGCUUCUCGGGCUCGAGCAGAUAUCCUUGGGCAGGAUCUUUUACUUCAGGGCAGGGUUGGUUAAGCAUAAGUAGUCGGUGCCACUGUGUCAAUUGAUACUUGAUCAUCAUCUUAUGGUGAAACUCCUGGAAGUGGAAGGAAAACGUCUAAAGCCCCGAGUGUUGUUGCUGAGUCAGUAGAAAUGAAUACAGCUCCCGAACAGGAAGCGGAGGAUAGAAGUUUGUAUGAGAGAUCAGAUGAAUCAACAUAUGAGAUUUCUGAUUUUGUUUAUGAAAAUGAUAUAGGGGAGUUGACUGAGUAUGAAUUUAACAAGGCGCUUGGACAUCUUUAUCAUUUAUUAAUCCUAAUGUUAUGAAGCCGAUGUAAGCGCCUCUUACAAGUGAAGAGUUAUGGUGGAAUUGGAGGAAACCUGAUAAAGGACAAUGGUCCAGGUGCUCCUGAUGCUGAAACCUAUAGCGAAUAUCUAUAAGUAAUCUUUUCUAACACAUUUACCUAUAAUGGUGAACUUGAGUAAUAUAUUUAUCCCAAGUGGGUCAAAUGGGUACAUUGAAUAAGUUGGCAAUAUUAAAUAGGUUCAGCUUGUAUAAAGUCGCCCAAAGUGUCCCCAAUGUGACUUUUAUGACCCAUUAGUUAAUCAGAUUAUUAUUUUCUUAGCGUAGUUUUUAUAAUCACGUUUAAUGCAAGAACUUUGUGAAAAUUCAGAAAAAUCAUGUGCCGGUGAUCUGACCCACUCAUGUAUCAAAAAUAUCUGUCUUACCUUAAUUAACUCACUUGAUCUGCCCAGUUUGUCA